This 133-nucleotide microRNA precursor is filed under the name Gossypium hirsutum (cotton). Its description in RNAcentral is "MIR7502 microRNA precursor family". It matches the Rfam family "MIR7502 microRNA precursor family". Lineage: Eukaryota; Viridiplantae; Streptophyta; Magnoliopsida; Malvales; Malvaceae. The record is from Rfam by way of RNAcentral.
UGUUAAAUUAUUUUUAUCUAUUUUUACUGUUAAAAACUAGCGUAGUUAACAAAAUAACAAGACAUGCUACGCGUACCUUAUGUUGGCGUGCAUGGACUAAUUUUUAACAGUAAAUUUGAUUAAAUUUUUAAUA